RNAcentral lists this long non-coding RNA (731 nucleotides) under Parus major (Great Tit). RNAcentral's name for it is "lncRNA (ENSPMJG00000008249.1)". Lineage: Eukaryota; Metazoa; Chordata; Aves; Passeriformes; Paridae. The record is from RNAcentral.
AACCCAACAGGCCCUUGGGAUUCCCUCAUGAACACAAUUGCAGAUUUUUUUUCACAGAAUUAAGAAAAGCCAAACAUUUGAUCAAUAAGUUAAGAGGCCAUUUUGUGCCUUGGAUACAUUCAUGGUGGAAGGAUUUCUGGUAGAAUUUAGGAAAGCUGACAUUGGUUAAAAUAGCCUUAGAAUAGCCUUAGAAUUGGUUAAAAUGCCUUAGAAAGCUAUCCAGGAGAAAACCUGUCUCCUUCUGUAUGAAAGGAGAAGGAUAGGGAUGUCAUAAUAACACAGUACUGAAAAAGGCUGUUUGCUUUCUGGUGAUGGUUUCCACUGUUCAAAUGAAUAUCUAAACCUUUAAUGAAGUCAGCAAGAAUGCUGAAAGAUGACCUGAAGAAGACUUCUGGAAACAAAGUGCUGGGUCCUGACUGAAAAUUCAUGGUAAUGCCUAUUUUAUUACGGAUUACCAUCAUCAUCCACAAAAAGAUUCUUUUCUACAUCUGCAACAUUCUGCAAAAUGGCCCGGAAAAAGUAAUUCUUUGGAAAAGUCACAGACUCUCCUUCCCCCUUCUGACUUCCGACGUUCCUUUUUGGUCAACAAAACCCCCACCUCUCUUUGUGUGAGUUUUUCAAGGCAGAUCUAUCACAUACACAGCUCAAAAUGAAUGAUGAAAAUUGAUGCAUAGAUACACUAUGGAAAAUCUUCAAUAGGCACCAGAAUUGUAUGACACUUCAAACACUGU